Molecule: ribosomal RNA, 253 nt
Filed under: uncultured bacterium
Lineage: Bacteria
Description: partial 16S ribosomal RNA
Rfam family: Bacterial small subunit ribosomal RNA
Source: RNAcentral
UACGUAGGGCGCAAGCGUUAUCCGGAAUUAUUGGGCGUAAAGAGCUCGUAGGCGGUUUGUCGCGUCUGCCGUGAAAGUCCGGGGCUCAACUCCGGAUCUGCGGUGGGUACGGGCAGACUAGAGUGAUGUAGGGGAGACUGGAAUUCCUGGUGUAGCGGUGAAAUGCGCAGAUAUCAGGAGGAACACCGAUGGCGAAGGCAGGUCUCUGGGCAUUACCUGACGCUGAGGAGCGGAAGCGUGGGUAGCGAACAGG